CAUCUUUGUUGUUUUUUAACUUUAACUUGCAUUAAAAAACAUUGAAAUCCUUGAACCUGUGUGUGGCCUCCUGUGACAUUCAGCUGAGCUGAUCUGUGACAAGAAGCCUGUGUCAUUUCUGCUGGUUAAAUAAAGCGGCUGAGGGCGAGGAGCCCGAGCAGCAGACAGGCGGAGGCUGUCGCUGCUGCUGGGGCAGAAUUACACAGACUGGUCCCACAGCAGGUGAUGUUGGAGACGGUUUGGACCACGGGCAGAGUGAAGCUGGAGGCUGCUGCACACAGGGUUGAAGACACGCAGCCCAGAGUCAGAGACGUGGACGCUCCGAUCGUCACUGGGACAGGAUGGAGUCAUGAGUCAAUAUUAGUACAUUUACUAUAUGAGCUGCUUUAACUUUCAUAUUAUCAUAAAUGUAAUCUUUGUGAAUGAUCAGUUUUUUUCCAUUUCUUUGCUCUAAGUCCAUCACUGUUACUGAUGUUCAGCUCAGGAUGAAGCAGUUGCCGUCGGUGAAGUCACAGGAGAAGCACUGAAAGCUGUUUGGUGCCUGAGCUCCAGGGACUGAACGAGGACAGACGCCAUGAAUUGAGUGAAGGGUGAGGGUGUGAGAGCACGGUGCCAGAGGAGCACUCACGGCUCGG
Molecule: long non-coding RNA, 635 nt
Organism: Betta splendens (Siamese fighting fish)
Lineage: Eukaryota; Metazoa; Chordata; Actinopteri; Anabantiformes; Osphronemidae
Exons: 3
Source: RefSeq, a predicted model, not a curated record